RNAcentral lists this ribosomal RNA (254 nucleotides) under uncultured bacterium. RNAcentral's name for it is "partial 16S ribosomal RNA". It matches the Rfam family "Bacterial small subunit ribosomal RNA", at positions 524 to 776 of the family's 1533-position model. The record is from RNAcentral.
UACGGGGGGAGCAAGCGUUGUUCGGAUUUACUGGGCGUAAAGGGCGCGUAGGCGGCCACGACAAGUCACUUGUGAAAUCUCCGGGCUUAACUCGGAACGGUCAAGUGAUACUGUCGGGCUAGAGUACAGAAGGGGCAACUGGAAUUCUCGGUGUAGCGGUGAAAUGCGUAGAUAUCGAGAGGAACACCCGCGGCGAAGGCGGGUUGCUGGGCUGAUACUGACGCUGAGGCGCGAAAGCCAGGGGAGCGAACGGG